RNAcentral lists this ribosomal RNA (497 nucleotides) under uncultured bacterium. Its description in RNAcentral is "partial 16S ribosomal RNA". It matches the Rfam family "Bacterial small subunit ribosomal RNA", at positions 28 to 507 of the family's 1533-position model. The record is from RNAcentral.
GAUGAACGCUGGCGGCGUGCCUAAUACAUGCAAGUCGAGCGAACGGACGAGAAGCUUGCUUCUCUGAUGUUAGCGGCGGACGGGUGAGUAACACGUGUAUAACCUACCUAUAAGACUGGUAUAAUUUCGGGAAACCGGAGCUAAUCCCGGAGGAUCUUUUGAACCGCAGGGUUCAAAGGUGAAAUACGGCCUUUCUGUCACUUAUAGAGGGUUCCGCGCUGCUUUAGCUAGUUGGUAAGUUAACGGCUUACCAAGGCAACGAUGCAUAGCCGACCGGAGAGAGUGAUAGGCCACACUAGAACUGAGACGCGGUCCAGACUCCUACGGGAGGCAGCAGUAGGGAAUCUUCCGCAAUGGGCGAAAGCCUGACGGAGCAACGCCGCGUGAGUGAUGAAGGUCUUCGGAUCGUAAAACUCUGUUAUUAGGGAAGAACAUAUGUGUAAGUAACUGUGCACAUCUUGACGGUACCUAAUCAGAAAGCAACGGCUAACUACGUG